RNAcentral lists this ribosomal RNA (522 nucleotides) under uncultured bacterium. Its description in RNAcentral is "bacterial SSU rRNA". It matches the Rfam family "Bacterial small subunit ribosomal RNA", at positions 775 to 1294 of the family's 1533-position model. The record is from RNAcentral.
AGACAAUAGAUACCCGGGUAGUCCACGCCGUAAACGAUGAGUGCUCGAUGUCGGAGGUGUCGACUCCUCCGGUGUCUAAAGCUAACGCGUUAAGCACUCCGCCUGGGGAGUACGGCCGCAAGGCUAAAACUCAAAGGAAUGGACGGGGAGGCGCACAAGCAGAGGAGCAUGUGGUUUAAUUCGACGCAACGCGAAGAACCUUACCUGGGCUUGACAUGUUCGGGACAGCCGUGGAAACACGGCCUUCCUUCGGGACCCGAUCACAGGUGUUGCAUGGCUGUUGUCAGCUCGUGCCGUGAGGUGUACUGUUAAGUCAGUAAACGAGCGCAACCCGUGUCGUGUGUUGCCAGCAUGAAAGAUGGGGACUCACACGAGAUUGCCGGCGCAAGCCGGAUGAAAGAGCGGAUGAGGUCAAGUCAUCAUGACCCUUAUGUCCAGGGCUACACACGUGCUACAAUGGCCGGCACAGCGGGCAGCAAACCAGCAAUGGUGAGCGAAUCCCUAAAAAGCCGGUCCCAGUUC